Molecule: ribosomal RNA, 303 nt
Filed under: uncultured Glomus
Lineage: Eukaryota; Fungi; Glomeromycota; Glomeromycetes; Glomerales; Glomeraceae
Description: SSU rRNA
Rfam family: Eukaryotic small subunit ribosomal RNA
Source: RNAcentral
AGCAGCCGCGGUAAUUCCAGCUCCAAUAGCGUAUAUUAAAGUUGUUGCAGUUAAAAAGCCCGUAGUUGAAUUUCGGGAUCAAUACGUCGGUCGUGCUUAGGUACGUACUGGCGUAAUUGAUUUCUCCCUUCUGACGAACCAUGAUGUCAUUAACUUGGUGUCAUGGGAAAUCAGGACUGUUACUUUGAAAAAAUUGAGUGUUUAAAGCAGGCUCACGCUUGAAUACAUUAGCAUGGAAUAAUGAAAUAGGACGUUCGAUCCUAUUUUGUUGGUUUUUAGGAUCAACGUAAUGAUUAAUAGGGA